Molecule: long non-coding RNA, 1278 nt
Filed under: Helianthus annuus (common sunflower)
Lineage: Eukaryota; Viridiplantae; Streptophyta; Magnoliopsida; Asterales; Asteraceae
Description: sRNA HanXRQr2_Chr04g0139281
Source: RNAcentral
UUGUUAACACAAACUUUGAUAUAAUAAAACUCAGAGAUAUCUCUUACGUGAUUGAUAUCAUAACAUACUGAGAUAGACCCAAUGGGAUAUUAGUUUCAUUCCAUAAGUUUAACAUUAAAUGGGUCCUUACAUAUGUAACAAUCAAUAUUGCUCUCCUUUAGAGGACAAUAGGAUAAAUGAGAUUAUUUAUUUAUGCUUCAUUAAUUAGAAGCCUUAUGUAAGUUUAAGUCUAUACUCGUUUAGAUAUUACUCAUAUUGCAACACACUAGAUAUGUCUAGAUUAAUGUGUAGCAUCUAAUGGAGUAUUACAAUAUCUUUAAAAGAAACGAGAGACUACAAUUUAAAGAAGAAGUGAGAAUUAAAACCGGUUUAUUACUCUAACUUUGAGAUAUUCGAAGAUUAUAAAAUGCAGUUUCGGGUAUAUCUUUAUGUCAGCAGACAAAACCUAUUUCAUGGAGGAGUCAUAAUGCACUGAUAUUAAACAACCUGAGUUAUAACGACAUAACAUGGUCACUAAAUGUUGUUGGAAAUUUAAUCAGUGGACUCAUAAGUUUAUUAACUCCAUAUAAUGUUUUGAAGAAUUAGUGUGAUAAAGUCAGCUACCAUAACUCCUUGAACAGUAACAGUUCAAGAGGUGCUGCAUUAAGUUUCGAUACGCAAUUAAUUAUUCGUUUAUGAACGAAUUGAGGAAACUAAGUUUUGUAUCGAAUACAUUCAUGAUAUGCUUAAGGAUCCUAUAACUGAAGGGCUAUUACCCAUAAGUCUUAUUAAGAGAGCUCAUAGACGGGUAUUAAUUAAUAGUCAUGCGCAAUUGCAUAUCGUACUAUGAAUGACUAAGUAUUAGUUAAUUUUCCUCAAGUUUGAUUUUGUAUGUCUCCAAUAAUAUCCAUGUAUGGGUUAAUGCAAACAUCAUAAUGUGAUGAAAAGCUAACGUAAUUAUUUUCAUCAAGAAUCAAGUGGAUUAAUGUACCUACCUCAAGAUGAGUGGGAGCAACUAAAAUAAACUUGUCUAUAUAGAUGACAUUCUUUGACAAGCAUAUGUUACAUAAGUCAAAGCAUUGUUAACACAAACUUUGAUAUAAUAAAACUCAGAGAUAUCUCUUACGUGAUUGAUAUCAUAACAUACUGAGAUAGACCCAAUGGGAUAUUAGUUUCGUUCCAUAAGAUCCUAUAACUGAAGGGCUAUUACCCAUAAGUCUUACUAAGAGAGCUCAUAGACGGGUAUUAAUUAAUGGCCAUGCGUAACCGCAUAUCGUACUAUGAAUGACUAAGUAUUAG